Long non-coding RNA from Engraulis encrasicolus (European anchovy), 913 nucleotides. RefSeq lists it as uncharacterized. The transcript is spliced from 2 exons. The record is from RefSeq and is a predicted model, not a curated record. Lineage: Eukaryota; Metazoa; Chordata; Actinopteri; Clupeiformes; Engraulidae.
UCUUGUCUGAUAUUGUUUCAGAUUUCGGCAUAGACAAAACGUAUCGCUUCCGAGGUCGUUUGGCUUCCCUUGGGGUAGAUAGUGCUGGUCGUGUCAACGUGACUGGCUGUGUCGUGGUGAUUGGAGGUAGUGUUUGUCCAUCAUGAGAAACCUUCAAGCUGUGAUGAUCAUUGAAUGUAACAGGACAGCUUCAAGAACUUGCUAAUUGUUGACUGAUGUAGAACUCUUCACAUGUAUUUUCAACACGAGAGUGGGAAACCUUCAAUCAAUGACUUUUCUACUCUCUCUCCCUUUACAUAUAUCUCAAAUAUCUGCAGGCUCAUGAUGUGUGGUAGCGGGGCGAGUUGCUGUCCUACAAUGCCUUGGAGAUGACCACAGAGAAGUUGGUUUACAAUGUGAGGUUCCUGAUUUGGAAUCUGGUUCGGAAGACUCUUACUUUGUUCUCCGACCGGACAGUGUCCCUCAAGUUCGAUUUGGAUAGGCCACAGUUUCCCAAGACUUCAUCUUUAUACCUCAACAUUAUUGUCUGCUGUCUUUGACAUCACUCGUACUUUAGAUUCUCUACACUGACCACCACAAGAAUUAAGAUUUGAUAAAUUUAACACUGAAAUGUAAUCUUAACUUUAAGUUGAAUGUUAUGAUGGCUGCCUGGCAGAUGCCUCCUGUAUGAACAAUAUUUGUUAAAUUUGUGUCUUGUGGUGCCCCCAAACUGUCUGUAAUUGUUUGGUGCCCAUGGACACUGUGGCACUAGCCCUUAUGCCACCUUAUUAGGUGAGCCAUCUUUAUUAUCACAGAGGACCCUCUCACCCCCUCCAUCAACUCCCACCACACCACAGAAUCAAUCUUCUACCACCAACUACAAGAACUCCUCAGCAGAAAGAAUCUCAACAGACAAUAAAGUUUUAAUGUUUAA